RNAcentral lists this ribosomal RNA (1281 nucleotides) under Triticum aestivum (bread wheat). RNAcentral's name for it is "partial small subunit ribosomal RNA". The record is from RNAcentral. Lineage: Eukaryota; Viridiplantae; Streptophyta; Magnoliopsida; Poales; Poaceae.
AUGGCCAUGGCCACCAAGCUCCAAUGGUGGCCACGGCUCCUCCUGCUCACCCACUCUGCCUUCUUCCUGCUCAGCCACGCGGCCUCCUUGCCAUGGACACUCGACAACGUCUCCGGCCUCCACCCUGUGGUGCUGCUGCCCGGCAGCACGUGCAGCCAGAUCGAGGCCCGCCUCACGGACGCCUACGAGCCGCCGUCGCCGCUCUGCGCCGCGCAUAAGGGCGACGGCCAGUGGCACCGGCUAUGGAAGACGGCGGCUGCUCCUGACGCCGACGCCCCGUGCUUCGCCGAUCAGUUUAGAUUGGUCUACGACGAUGCCGCCGGCGAUUACCGCAACGCGCCCGGCGUCGAGACCCGCGCCGUCUCCUUCGGCUCCACCCGCGGCUUCCUCGCCGACGACCCUGCCGACAAGGAGCUCUGCAUGGGGAAGCUGGUGGAGGCGUUGGAGCGAGCGGGGUACCGCGACGGCGAGACCCUCUUCGGCGCGCCCUACGACUUCCGGCACGCGCCCGCCCCGCCGGGGACGGCCAACAGGGAGGUGUCCCGGUUCCGGCGGCGGCUCCGGGAGCUGGUGGAGCGCGCGAGCAGGACGAACGGUGACAAGCCGGUCAUCCUCGUCUCGCACAGCCAGGGCGGCUACUUCGCACUCGACUUCCUCAACCGGAGCCCGCUGCCGUGGCGCAGGAGGUUCGUGAAGCACUUCGUCAUGGCCUCCACGGGCGCCGGCGGGUUCGUGCUGCUAAUGCAGACCCUCCUUCCCUCGCUGCAAGUGAGGAUGAUCUUCCCCGGCACUCUCUCGGCACUGCCGUCCCCCGUCGCUUUCGGCGACGACACGCCGCUAGUGGUCACUACGAACCGGAGCUACGCCGCGCGUGACAUGCCGGCGUUCCUCGCGGCGGCGGGGCUGCCGCCACAGGCGGUAUGGCUCUACGAGACGCGUGCGCUUCCCGUGGCGCUGAGCCUCGGGCCACCGCUAGUGCCCAUGACGUGCGUCAACGGCGGCGGCGUGCCGACCGUGGAGAAGCUCGUCUACCCGUGCCCUGGCGGCCUCGGCGCGGCCCCGGAGGUGGUGUACGGAGACGGCGACGGCGUCGUGAACUUGGCGAGCAUACUUGCGCUGGACACGGUGAUGGGUGGAGACCCGAGGCAGGAGCACUACAGGUCCAUGAGGAUCGCCAAUAUGUCUCACCUUGGUGUUGUCUCGGACGCUCUCGCCCUCGAGCGUUUGCUUGGUGAGAUCCUUUACGCAGCUACACCCGCCGUAGAUGCGCGUGCGAUGUAG